GUUCGUUUCGUCGUAGCUAACUGGAUAACGCAAUUGCUUUUAAAGAGAACGGUGCUGGGUUCGAGUCCCAGAGUGAAC
This 78-nucleotide transfer RNA is filed under the name Schistosoma mansoni. Lineage: Eukaryota; Metazoa; Platyhelminthes; Trematoda; Strigeidida; Schistosomatidae. The record is from RNAcentral.